AACGUAGGACGCGAACGUUAUCCGGAGUUACUGGGCGUAAAGCGCGUGCAGGCGGUUUGGUAAGUUACCUAUGAAAGCUCUCGGCUAAACUGAGAGAGGAUAGGUGAAACUGCCAGACUAGAGUGAGGUAGAGGUGAGUAGAAUUCCAGGUGUAGUGGUGAAAUGCGUAGAUAUCUGGAGGAAUACCAGUGGCGAAGGCGGCUCACUGGCCCUCAACUGACGCUGAGACGCGAAAGCGUGGGUAGCGAACGGG
RNAcentral lists this ribosomal RNA (253 nucleotides) under uncultured bacterium. RNAcentral's name for it is "partial 16S ribosomal RNA". It matches the Rfam family "Bacterial small subunit ribosomal RNA", at positions 524 to 776 of the family's 1533-position model. The record is from RNAcentral.